UCCAAUGUGGUGUAGUGGCUAACAUUGCUGUCUUUCAGGUCACAUAGUGAUGCUAAUUCCACUGUAGAUUUGCACAGCAGCCCGGGGUUCGAUUCCCCGCAUUGGAA
Gymnopus androsaceus JB14 is the source of this 107-nucleotide non-coding RNA. The record is from the annotation of a GenBank genome assembly. Lineage: Eukaryota; Fungi; Basidiomycota; Agaricomycetes; Agaricales; Omphalotaceae.